CCAGGGAUGUUAACCUGGAGAACGGUCGUGUUAGGGCUAAUGUAAGGCUACGCUAAGCAGGGCUGGGCCUGGUUAGAACUUGGAUGGGAGACCCCUGAGAAUACCAGGUACCACAGUGGG
Molecule: ribosomal RNA, 120 nt
Filed under: Periophthalmus magnuspinnatus
Lineage: Eukaryota; Metazoa; Chordata; Actinopteri; Gobiiformes; Gobiidae
Source: RNAcentral